GGUUGUGGCUCAGCGGUAGAAUACCUGCCUCGAAUGUGCGGGGUCCUGAGUUCAAUCCUUAGCACCA
Molecule: transfer RNA, 67 nt
Filed under: Marmota monax (woodchuck)
Lineage: Eukaryota; Metazoa; Chordata; Mammalia; Rodentia; Sciuridae
Description: tRNA.Ser
Source: RNAcentral